CAGCAGCCGCGGGAAUACGUAGGGUGCGAGCGUUAAUCGGAAUUACUGGGCGUAAAGCGAGCGCAGACGGUUAUUUAAGCAGGAUGUGAAAUCCCCGGGCUUAACCUGGGAACUGCGUUCUGAACUGGAUAGCUAGAGUGUGUCAGAGGGGGGUAGAAUUCCACGUGUAGCAGUGAAAUGCGUAGAGAUGUGGAGGAACACCGAUGGCGAAGGCAGCCCCCUGGGCCAAUACUGACGCUCAUGCACGAAAGCGUGGGGAGCAAACAGGAUUAGAUACCCGGGUAGUCCCUGUCUCUUAUAC
RNAcentral lists this ribosomal RNA (301 nucleotides) under uncultured bacterium. RNAcentral's name for it is "partial 16S ribosomal RNA". It matches the Rfam family "Bacterial small subunit ribosomal RNA", at positions 509 to 807 of the family's 1533-position model. The record is from RNAcentral.